ACUCCUACGGGAGGCAGCAGUGGGAAUAUUGCACAAUGGGGGAAAGCCCAUCGAUGCAGCCAUGCCGCGUGUGUGAAGAAGGCCUUCGGGUUGUAAAGACACUUUCAGUAGGGAGGAAGGUAGUGUAGUUAACACCUGCAUUAUUUGACGUUACCUACAGAAGAAGCACCGGCUAACUCCGUGCCAGCAGCCGCGGUAAUACGGAGGGUGCGAGCGUUAAUCGGAAUUACUGGGCGUAAAGCGCAUGCAGGCGGCCUGUUAAGUCAGAUGUGAAAGCCCGGGGCUUAACCUCGGAAUUGCAUUUGAAACUGGCAGGCUAGAGUCUUGUAGAGGGGGUG
This 338-nucleotide ribosomal RNA is filed under the name uncultured bacterium. RNAcentral describes it as "bacterial SSU rRNA". It matches the Rfam family "Bacterial small subunit ribosomal RNA", at positions 335 to 662 of the family's 1533-position model. The record is from RNAcentral.